This 509-nucleotide ribosomal RNA is filed under the name uncultured bacterium. RNAcentral describes it as "bacterial SSU rRNA". It matches the Rfam family "Bacterial small subunit ribosomal RNA", at positions 17 to 518 of the family's 1533-position model. The record is from RNAcentral.
UUCUGGCUCAGGAUGAACGCUAGCUACAGGCUAACACAUGCAAGUCGAGGGCAGCAUGAUCGAAGCUUGCUUGAUGAUGGCGACCGGCGCACGGGUGAGUAACGCGUAUCCAACCUUCCCUAUAGUAGAGGAUAGCCCGGCGAAAGUCGGAUUAAUACUCUAUGUUUUCCAAUGCAGACAUCUAAGUUGGAACAAAGGUUUACCGCUAUAGGAUGGGGAUGCGUCUGAUUAGGUAGUCGGCGGGGUAACGGCCCACCGAGCCUACGAUCAGUAGGGGUUCUGAGAGGAAGGUCCCCCACAUUGGAACUGAGACACGGUCCAAACUCCUACGGGAGGCAGCAGUGAGGAAUAUUGGUCAAUGGGCGAGAGCCUGAACCAGCCAAAGUAGCGUGCAGGAUGACGGCCCUAUGGGUUGUAAACUGCUUUUAUACGGGGAUAAAGUGAGGGACGUGUCCCUUUUUGUAGGUACCGUAUGAAUAAGGACCGGCUAAUUCCGUGCCAGCCGCGGC